This 63-nucleotide transfer RNA is filed under the name Opilio parietinus. RNAcentral describes it as "tRNA-Trp". The record is from RNAcentral. Lineage: Eukaryota; Metazoa; Arthropoda; Arachnida; Opiliones; Phalangiidae.
AAAGCUUUAAGUUAAGUAAACUAUGAACCUUCAAAGCUCAAAUUAAUUAAAAAUUAAGCUUUA